AUUGAACGCUGGCGGCAGGCCUAACACAUGCAAGUCGAGCGAGAGGCGGACGGGUGAGUAAUGUGUGGGAAACUGCCCGUUGGAGGGGGAUAACUACUGGAAAAGGUAGCUAAUAUCGCAUACCAUCAGAUGUGCCCAGAUGGGAUUAGCUAGUAGGGGGGGUAACGGCUCACCUAGGCGACGAUCCCUAGCUGGUCUGAGAGGAUGACCAGCCACACUGGAACUGAGACACGGUCCAGACUCCUACGGGAGGCAGCAGUGGGGAAUAUUGCACAAUGGGCGCAAGCCUGAUGCAGCCAUGCCGCGUGUGUGAAGAAGGCCUUCGGGUUGUAAAGCACUUUCAGCGGGGAGGCGUUACCCGCAGAAGAAGCACCGGCUAACUCCGUGCCAGCCGCCGCGGUAAUAC
RNAcentral lists this ribosomal RNA (406 nucleotides) under uncultured bacterium. RNAcentral's name for it is "partial 16S ribosomal RNA". It matches the Rfam family "Bacterial small subunit ribosomal RNA", at positions 30 to 526 of the family's 1533-position model. The record is from RNAcentral.